UACGGAGGGUGCAAGCGUUAUCCGGAUUCACUGGGUUUAAAGGGUGCGUAGGAGGGCAGGUAAGUCAGUGGUGAAAUCUCUGGGCUUAACCCGGAAACUGCCAUUGAUACUAUCUGUCUUGAAUAUGGUGGAGGUCAGCGGAAUAUGUCAUGUAGCGGUGAAAUGCUUAGAUAUGACAUAGAACACCGAUAGCGAAGGCAGCUUGCUACACAAUAAUUGACGCUGAGGCACGAAAGCGUGGGGAUCAAACAGG
Molecule: ribosomal RNA, 253 nt
Filed under: uncultured bacterium
Lineage: Bacteria
Description: partial 16S ribosomal RNA
Rfam family: Bacterial small subunit ribosomal RNA
Source: RNAcentral